AUACUCAGAAGCAUCAAAACCUCCUGCAGAGUUAAUUUCUCAUGCUCUCUACAAUUUGCCGUCUCUAAAUUAGGAUUUUGAAGAAGUAGAGAAGAACUAAAAAGGGCAACAAAUCAAAACAAACGGAUUGUAUAUUGGAAAGUGGUUUUCUAUGGGAAUGCGGUGGAAGAAUUAACAAGAACCCUUUUGAAUCGAUAGCAAAAUGAUAUCUCCUCUCAUGCUGAGAAUACAUCGUCAGCAGGCAACUGGAAUUGCAAUAUCAAAUGCUUACAGCAUUUCAUGGACCCUAUGCUUCAAGAAAACAGAAUGCUCCAGUUAGGAUCUUAUGUUUCACUUCUCUUAGGGGCUGGAGCUAUGUCUGCAAUGGCCAGAUGGGUUUAAGAAUAAUUGAAUGCUAACCAUGGAUUUUAUAGUAGAAAAUUUUCUAAUGCUUUCUUUAAGAGCUUAAUUAUUUUUUUGAUUUUUUUUGAUUUUAUGUUGUUAGAAUUUUAAUCCAUUAUAUAUCUAAUGGGAGAGGCUAUAGUUAUCUUCUGCUCAAUAAUAAAACACUGUUUUGCAUUAUGAACUUAACUACUUGCUGAAUGAUUUUCAAGUGUAAAUAUUCAAUCUAUUUUACAAACAAAAAAAAAACUGGUUCCUCUUUUCAUUCAUGAACCCACUGCAAUCACACCACUACUUACUAGUUAUACUAUCAAUUUGCACGUUUGGUUUGGAUCGAUAAAAGUUAAAUAUUUCGAUUUCAAAUCAUUGCAUUUUCAUAAGAAGCCUAUGAAGCUUGUUAAUUAAUGUAAACACAUGUAGUUCACUUCAAAACUUAAUCAUUCUCAGCCUUUUAUUUUAUUAAUCUUGGCUCUAAUUGGUACUUUACCUAUUGUUUCUGACUAGGGUACGUGUCGAGGAGGAUCGGAAAGGGGAAAUUAACGGCUGGAGUUUGGGCCUGUAACUGGGCCACAGGUAUUUUUGGCCAAUAAAUAUUUUUGGAAAAUCGGCUCGAAAAGUUGUCUAAAAGCGCUCGG
This is a long non-coding RNA of Papaver somniferum (opium poppy), 1016 nucleotides long. RefSeq lists it as uncharacterized. The transcript has 3 exons. The record is from RefSeq and is a predicted model, not a curated record. Lineage: Eukaryota; Viridiplantae; Streptophyta; Magnoliopsida; Ranunculales; Papaveraceae.